RNAcentral lists this ribosomal RNA (253 nucleotides) under uncultured bacterium. Its description in RNAcentral is "partial 16S ribosomal RNA". It matches the Rfam family "Bacterial small subunit ribosomal RNA", at positions 524 to 776 of the family's 1533-position model. The record is from RNAcentral.
UACAGAGGGUGCAAGCGUUGUCCGGAAUCACUGGGCGUAAAGGGCGCGUAGGCGGCCCGAUAAGUAGGGGGUGAAAUCUUGCGGCUCAACCGCAAGGCUGCCUUCUAGACUGUCGGGCUUGAGCACAGUAGAGGCAGGUGGAAUUCCCGGUGUAGCGGUGGAAUGCGUAGAGAUCGGGAAGAACAUCGGUGGCGAAGGCGGCCUGCUGGGCUGUUGCUGACGCUGAGGCGCGACAGCGUGGGGAGCGAACAGG